UACGGAGGGUGCAAGCGUUAUCCGGAUUCACUGGGUUUAAAGGGUGCGUAGGUGGGCAGGUAAGUCAGUGGUGAAAUCUCCGGGCUUAACCCGGAAACUGCCAUUGAUACUAUCAGUCUUGAAUACCGUGGAGGUAAGCGGAAUAUGUCAUGUAGCGGUGAAAUGCUUAGAUAUGACAUAGAACACCAAUUGCGAAGGCAGCUUACUAGCCGAAUAUUGACACUGAGGCACGAAAGCGUGGGGAUCAAACAGG
This 253-nucleotide ribosomal RNA is filed under the name uncultured bacterium. RNAcentral describes it as "partial 16S ribosomal RNA". It matches the Rfam family "Bacterial small subunit ribosomal RNA", at positions 524 to 776 of the family's 1533-position model. The record is from RNAcentral.